Molecule: ribosomal RNA, 412 nt
Filed under: uncultured bacterium
Lineage: Bacteria
Description: bacterial SSU rRNA
Rfam family: Bacterial small subunit ribosomal RNA
Source: RNAcentral
CUACGUGCCAGCAGCCGCGGUAAUACGUAGGGUGCGAGCGUUAAUCGGAAUUACUGGGCGUAAAGCGGGCGCAGACGGUUACUUAAGCAGGAUGUGAAAUCCCCGGGCUCAACCUGGGAACUGCGUUCUGAACUGGGUGACUAGAGUGUGUCAGAGGGAGGUAGAAUUCCACGUGUAGCAGUGAAAUGCGUAGAGAUGUGGAGGAAUACCGAUGGCGAAGGCAGCCUCCUGGGAUAGCACUGACGUUCAUGCUCGAAAGCGUGGGUAGCAAACAGGAUUAGAUACCCUGGUAGUCCACGCCCUAAACGAUGUCAAUUAGCUGUUGGGGCACUAGAUGCCUUAGUAGCGAAGCUAACGCGUGAAAUUGACCGCCUGGGGAGUACGGUCGCAAGAUUAAAACUCAAAGGAAUUG